This 444-nucleotide long non-coding RNA is filed under the name Oryza sativa tropical japonica subgroup. Its description in RNAcentral is "lncRNA OsCMeo_10g0011260". Lineage: Eukaryota; Viridiplantae; Streptophyta; Magnoliopsida; Poales; Poaceae. The record is from RNAcentral.
AUGCGGAGGUCCAAAAAGCGUCAACACGAGUCGACAACCGGUCCAUACCAGAGGUCGGUCGAUGCCCGGCAGCUAUCCCCGGGCAUGGACGACUACGGGAUGGAUGAUCGCCACAUGGAUGGUCUGGAGGGCGAUGACGGUGAUCAGCCAUCUCCUGGCGAGGCCAACUUCUCCGUCGACGUCGACGCCACGACGUUGCCCACACCAAAUUCCGAUAACCAGCCAUCUGCCAGAAGAGCGGAGUGUUGGCGACACUUCGAAUUAUUCACCGAGAUGGUUGACGGAGGUAACACAGUGGUCAAAGCGAGGUUCCAAGACUACUGUAAAGCGAAGAAUAAACCUGGACGGAUGUUUGGCAUUGUGAAGAAUAAACCUGGACGGAUGUUUGGCAUUGAUGUCAAACAUAGGUGGAACACAACAUACCUGUUGCUGCGACAAUUAAAA